GGACAUAAGAAACUGAGCUACUCGGCUCUAUUUGUUAUAAACUUGGUUCCUUCAUUUACACGUGGGGAAGAUGAGAUUGAGAGGGGAAUUUCUACAAAAAAACACCAUAUACCACGGACACUAACUAUUCCGCCUCUCAUUUGUGAUGUACAUGUUGAUAAACAACUAAAACCAAAAAUCCUCCCACACGUUCAACACCUCUCUGCACCUCCUACUCCGCAGGAUUACCACCCUGCCCCGGCCCAUCAUCAUACAGCUGCAAGGGUCCCACCAACCG
Molecule: long non-coding RNA, 277 nt
Filed under: Eucalyptus grandis
Lineage: Eukaryota; Viridiplantae; Streptophyta; Magnoliopsida; Myrtales; Myrtaceae
Description: long non-coding RNA (EGRA_LNC001023)
Source: RNAcentral